UCUCUUCUUACCAGUUUAAUAUCUGAUACGUCCUCUGUCUGAGGACAAUAUAUUAAAUGGAUUUUUGGAGCAGGGAGAUGGAAUAGGAGCUUGCUCCAUCCACUCCACGCAUAGACCUGAUAUUGCAGUACCUCCAGGAUCCUUGC
This is a small nuclear RNA of Colobus angolensis palliatus, 146 nucleotides long. Its record names the gene U2. It matches the Rfam family "U2 spliceosomal RNA". Rfam says of the family: U2 is a small nuclear RNA (snRNA) component of the spliceosome (involved in pre-mRNA splicing). Complementary binding between U2 snRNA (in an area lying towards the 5' end but 3' to hairpin I) and the branchpoint sequence (BPS) of the intron results the bulging out of an unpaired adenosine, on the BPS, which initiates a nucleophilic attack at the intronic 5' splice site, thus starting the first of two transesterification reactions that mediate splicing. NCBI's taxonomy places the organism in Eukaryota, Metazoa, Chordata, Mammalia, Primates, Cercopithecidae. The record is from Ensembl.